CAAAGCAAAAGAAACUUCCCUUGAAACAAAAAGGCAAUCAACCAAAUGGGAAAAGAUGUUUGCACACAACAGCUCCGACAAGGUGUUAAUAUCCCAAAUAUAUAAGGAACCCAUAUAACUCAACACCAAACAAACAAACAAGCCAAUGAAAAAAUAGGCAGAGAAGAGACACUUCUCCCAAAAGACAUACAAAUGACAA
This is a long non-coding RNA of Phyllostomus discolor (pale spear-nosed bat), 199 nucleotides long. RefSeq lists it as uncharacterized. NCBI's taxonomy places the organism in Eukaryota, Metazoa, Chordata, Mammalia, Chiroptera, Phyllostomidae. The transcript is spliced from 3 exons. The record is from RefSeq and is a predicted model, not a curated record.